UUUCCGUAGGUGAACCUGCGGAAGGAUCAUUCAUAAUAAGUGUUAUAUGGCACUUUUUUAAAUCCAUAUCCACCUUGUGUGCAAUGUCAGGGUUGGUCUCUUUUGAUCAGCCCCAAACAUCAGCUAUUAUCUCAACUCUUUGUCUGAAAAAUAUUAUGAAUAAAACAAUUCAAAAUACAACUUUCAACAACGGAUCUCUUGGCUCUC
RNAcentral lists this unclassified non-coding RNA (207 nucleotides) under plant metagenome. RNAcentral's name for it is "partial contains small subunit ribosomal RNA, internal transcribed spacer 1, and 5.8S ribosomal RNA". The record is from RNAcentral.